AAAUGUUUUGUUUGAAUGUAAAAUGAACACAUUAGUCUCACAUUGAUUAAAAUUGAUUGAAUUGAAUACUUAAAGCAAUACAAUUGGGUUUGCACACAAAACGGCACCUCCUGAGCAGCAGGGGCAGUAACGCUCAAUGAGAAGGACGUCAACUGCCAUAAAAGAAGAAUAAACAUCGUUUGUUUUGGGCGCCAAAAUGAAGACUCAGCAGCAGUCAGUCAGAAGAACUCUCUCAGACGGACACCACGUUAUUAAAGUCCAUCAUCCUUGCACACACUCAAAAGCAUUGAUAAAUGCUGAAUUUAAAAGAAUCACUACUGUCUAAUGUUCCUGUGUCACCUGGACCUCCAAUCCAAAAACCUGAUGAAACUCUUCUAUCAGAAAGGAGGACAGCUAGCAAAAAGACUUCAAACAAUUAAUGAUCAAAUGACAGAAGUAAGUAAUAUAGAUUCAUAGACAUAAAAAUGUGUAAACCUUGUUGGAAGUACAGAAAAUGUAUUAUGUUUUAGUUACAUCUUUUGGCACAAGGGUCAUUAAAACACCUGGGAAGAUUUAAAGGGGUAGUUCACCCAAAAAUAAAAAUUCUCAUCACUUACUCCCUAUCAUGUUGUU
Non-coding RNA from Misgurnus anguillicaudatus (oriental weatherfish), 612 nucleotides. The record is from RefSeq and is a predicted model, not a curated record. NCBI's taxonomy places the organism in Eukaryota, Metazoa, Chordata, Actinopteri, Cypriniformes, Cobitidae.